Long non-coding RNA from Papaver somniferum (opium poppy), 722 nucleotides. RefSeq lists it as uncharacterized. The transcript is spliced from 3 exons. The record is from RefSeq and is a predicted model, not a curated record. Lineage: Eukaryota; Viridiplantae; Streptophyta; Magnoliopsida; Ranunculales; Papaveraceae.
CUUUUCUUAGGGCCUGCUAUGGUGUUUUGAGAUUCGUCAUGGGAAGUGGUGCCAAGGGUUGUGAGGUUAUUGUGAGUGGAAAGCUUAGGGCAGCUCGUGCAGAGUCAACGAAGUUAAGGACGGAUACAUGAUUUUUUCUGAUUCCUCGAUGUAAAAAGCUGCAGUUCGAAUAACCUACUGAGGCAAGACUACUUCGAAUUGUUUAUAUGGGAUUCACUACACUCUUCUCUAUAGGAAAGAGUGCCAAUAAUCUUUGUGAGUCGUGCAACUAUUUUAAGUCUGGAUGUUCUUACACCAAAAGUCUUCAUUGGGUUACUCGCUGGAGCCGAAAAGGUGUGAAGAGAUUAGAAAACUCAUUCCAACUCUUAAAAAUUAGGGUGUGGGUGUCUGGUUCAAUUUUUUUUUAACUUCUUCUUGUUCUGUUUUCGUGCACCCAAAGAAAAAACUAGGUGCAUCCAUUCUUGAUCUUGGUUGUGCUCUUUAAGUAUGUCUACUUACCUUUUCCUUUCACUUUCUUGCAAUGUUCCCUAUUUUUCUAAAUUCAAUCAUUCCUUGGAUUUUUAGUCAAAUAUACGGUGUUUCGACUCCCCACUUUCUCUCUUUUGGUGCAGUCAAAGACAAAACUAGGUGGAUCAGUUCUUGAUCUUGAUUGUGCUCUUUAGGUAUGUCUGCUGACCUUUUACCUUCUUUUUCUUGUAAUGUUCUCCGUUUUCUGAAUUUUA